Molecule: long non-coding RNA, 748 nt
Filed under: Monodelphis domestica (gray short-tailed opossum)
Lineage: Eukaryota; Metazoa; Chordata; Mammalia; Didelphimorphia; Didelphidae
Description: lncRNA (ENSMODG00000050654.1)
Source: RNAcentral
UGCUUCCCUUCAGUUUAGGAUAUGACUGUCUAGUACUUGGCCACCACGUAAUCUUCAUAUCUAGACCAGCAUCGGUCUAUCUUCCAUAUGAGAAACUGAGAACUGGGCAACCAUGCAAUAUUUCUACCUGGAGCAGCAUCGACCCAUUUUCCUGAUGAGAAACUGUGAAUUUCCCAUCUGGCAUGAACACGGCUGUCUAGGACUUGGUCCCCAUGUAAUCUUCCAAUCUAGAACAGCAUCAGCCCAUUUUUCUGAUGAGAAACUUUGUUUAGGAUGUGGCUCUCUAGAAUUUGGCAACCAUGUAAUCUUCCAAUCUGGAGCAGCACUGAUCCAUUUUCCUGAUGAGAAACUGAGGUGAAUGUCUUUUAUAUUGUGAACAACAGAGUUAUGAAUAUUGAUACAAAUUUGGUGAUAUUUCAAAUGUUUUUUUAUCUGACAUCAACAUGUAUGCCUUGUGCUUGUCCCCCAUGUAAUCUACCCUAUCUAGACCUCCAUUAGCCCAUUUUCCAGAUGAAAAACCUGAAGGAAAUAUCAUGUAGAUAAUGAAAAAUAGAGCCAUGAUUGUUCAUACAACUUUGGUGAUGUUUCCUUUGUGCUUCCCGUCUGGCAUGAACAUGGUUAUCUAGAACUCGACCUCCGUAUAAUCUUUCGUAUCUAGACUUCCAUCAGCCCAUUUUCCAGAUGGGAAAACUGAAGAGAAUAUCUUGUAGAUAAUAAAAUAGAGCCCUGAUUAGUGAGAGAACUUUGG